This 253-nucleotide ribosomal RNA is filed under the name uncultured bacterium. RNAcentral describes it as "partial 16S ribosomal RNA". It matches the Rfam family "Bacterial small subunit ribosomal RNA", at positions 524 to 776 of the family's 1533-position model. The record is from RNAcentral.
GACAGAGGAUGCAAGCGUUAUCCGGAAUUAUUGGGCGUAAAGCGUUUGUAGGUGGCUUUUCAAGUCCGCCGUCAAAUCCCAGGGCUCAACCCUGGACAGGCGGUGGAAACUGCCAAGCUGGAGUACGGUAGGGGCAGAGGGAAUUUCCGGUGGAGCGGUGAAAUGCAUUGAGAUCGGAAAGAACACCAACGGCGAAAGCACUCUGCUGGGCCGACACUGACGCUGAGAGACGAAAGCUAGGGGAGCAAAUGGG